AACCGGACCAAGGAGUCUAACAUGUGUGCGAGUCAAUGGGUGGUAAACCUACGGGCGCAAUGAAAGUAAUGCACGUGAUCUGUGCGGCAGCGCGCAGCGCAACGUGGUCCCGUUUCAUCUGCUUUUGUCAGUGGAGCGGAGAUUGAGCAUACACGUUAGGACCCGAAAGAUGGUGAACUAUGCCUGAGCAGGAUGAAGCCAGAGGAAACUCUGGUGGAGGUCCGUACCAGUUCUGACGUGCAAAUCGAUUGUCAGACUUGGGUAUAGGGGCGAAAGACUAAUCGAACCCUCUAGU
Molecule: ribosomal RNA, 295 nt
Filed under: Monoposthia sp. MKL2
Lineage: Eukaryota; Metazoa; Nematoda; Chromadorea; Desmodorida; Monoposthiidae
Description: partial 28S ribosomal RNA
Rfam family: Eukaryotic large subunit ribosomal RNA
Source: RNAcentral